This 429-nucleotide ribosomal RNA is filed under the name Chloroflexota bacterium. RNAcentral's name for it is "Chloroflexi bacterium partial 16S ribosomal RNA". It matches the Rfam family "Bacterial small subunit ribosomal RNA", at positions 355 to 776 of the family's 1533-position model. Lineage: Bacteria; Bacillati; Chloroflexota. The record is from RNAcentral.
UGGGGAAUAUUGCACAAUGGGCGCAAGCCUGAUGCAGCCAUGCCGCGUGUGUGAAGAAGGCCUUCGGGUUGUAAAGCACUUUCAGCGGGGAGGAAGGCGGUGAGGUUAAUAACCUCAUCGAUUGACGUUACCCGCAGAAGAAGCACCGGCUAACUCCGUGCCAGCAGCCGCGGUAAUACGGAGGGUGCAAGCGUUAAUCGGAAUUACUGGGCGUAAAGCGCACGCAGGCGGUCUGUCAAGUCGGAUGUGAAAUCCCCGGGCUCAACCUGGGAACUGCAGUAGAAACUGGCAGGCUAGAGUCUUGUAGAGGGGGGGAGAAUUCCAGGUGUAGCGGUGAAAUGCGUAGAGAUCUGGAGGAAUACCGGUGGCGAAGGCGGCCCCCUGGACAAAAACUGACGCUCAGGUACGAAAGCGUGGGGAGCAAACAGG